Molecule: ribosomal RNA, 472 nt
Filed under: uncultured bacterium
Lineage: Bacteria
Description: partial 16S ribosomal RNA
Rfam family: Bacterial small subunit ribosomal RNA
Source: RNAcentral
GACGAACGCUGGCGGCGUGCUUAACUCAUGCAAGUCGAACGCUGAAGCUUGGUGCUUGCACUGGGUGGAUGAGUGGCGAACGGGUGAGUAAUACGUGAGUAACCUGCCCUUGACUCUGGGAUAAGCCUGGGAAACUGGGUCUAAUACUGGAUACGACAUGCCACUGCAUGGUGGUGUGUGGAAAGGGUUUUACUGGUUUUGGAUGGGCUCACGGCCUAUCAGCUUGUUGGUGGGGUAAUGGCCUACCAAGGCGACGACGGGUAGCCGGCCUGAGAGGGUGACCGGCCACACUGGGACUGAGACACGGCCCAGACUCCUACGGGAGGCAGCAGUGGGGAAUAUUGCACAAUGGGCGGAAGCCUGAUGCAGCGACGCCGCGUGAGGGAUGACGGCCUUCGGGUUGUAAACCUCUUUCAGCACGGAAGAAGCGAGAGUGACGGUACGUGCAGAAGAAGCGCCGGCUAACUACGUG